This 853-nucleotide long non-coding RNA is filed under the name Callithrix jacchus (white-tufted-ear marmoset). Its description in RNAcentral is "lncRNA (ENSCJAG00000081728.1)". The record is from RNAcentral. Lineage: Eukaryota; Metazoa; Chordata; Mammalia; Primates; Cebidae.
UACUAACAACAAUGGCAACGAUUUGUCGAGGACAGUCAUGUAUCUCCUAACGACGGGGAUACUACCUAGGAAACGUGCUGCUUGGCAAAGAGCACUUAUACAAACCCACACGCUACAGCGACUGCACACCCAGGCUAUGUGAUACAGCCUGUCGCUCCCAGGCUGCAAACCUGCACAGCAUGUGAUGUGGUGGAAUACUGAACUGAAUGCUGAAUACUGUAGGCAAUUGUAACAUAAUGAGAUCGAGUCAUGCUAUGUUGUCUAGGCUGGUCUUGAACUCCUGGGCUCAAGCAAUCCUCCUGCCUCAGCCUCCUGCAUAGCAGGGAUUAGAGGGUGUCAUCCCUGAGCCAGUUUCCUUAGGCCCUGCCCUGGUGAAGAUGGCUGUUUGCUGGGUCACGCGAAGACAAAAGCCAGGACACAGGCCCCAGCCCUGCUAAACACUGCAGUGACUCUGCUCCAGGCUACCUCCUGUGGGAAUCUGCUUCACUUCACAGACGACCCCAGCAUCUUCAUUGAGGUCCAUGAAUGGACAUAGUUUCCAGGAUUUUUUGUGACCCAGGAAACCCGAACUCUCAUCAAAAAUGAAUAAGUAAAAGGAGGGAUGGGUAAGAAAAUUCUAAAAUCUUCUUUCUGAGUCAUUAACGUUCACUUGAAAUUUGUCGUCACUAUUUCCUACUUCCCUAGCAAAUUCCAACCUGAGUAGCGUAGGUGAUGGCACUAAGCCCUAGGAUGGAAAAAGCGCAAUUAAGCUCUGUAUUGGUCUGUUCUCUCACUGCUAAUAAAGACAUACACCUGAUACUGAAUAAUUUAUAAAGAGACUUAAUUGACUCACAGUUCAGCAGGGCUGGGGAGG